AUAUUGGCUAAAGGGAAGGGCAGGCCAUAUGGCAGGACAUAGGAACAAUAUGUAUGGGCCAGAGAGCACAAUGUAUUUAUCUGGAAAGCAACAAAAGGAUAAGGUUUACUAACAGGUAGGUUUAGAAUCCAGAAGACUUUGAGCAUGAGGCACAGGAACAUGGCCUUGGGGACCCAGUGAAGAACAAAGAAGAAAAAAUUUCUUUUAAAGAAAGGCCAAAGAAUUAUUAUAGAUCUUUUCUUUCGACAUUCCUAAACAAGAACAGGCCUAGAUGGUGUCAUUUUCAAUUCUUGUCCUAACUGGGCCACCGGGGAGGAAAGGAAGAAAGCAGCACAGAGCCAAGUUUGAAGUCCUGGAAGAGAAUCUCCUGAGACAUUGGCUGAGGAACACAGAAAGUUACUUGUGGCAGAAUCUUUCUGGAAUUUUUCCAUUCUGGGAUACUCUGAGCCCAUUUUGUCACAGGUCAUCAUGACUUGAUGAAUGAAUAUCAUAUUGGUUAAUUCCUGCGGCUUAAUAAAAUCCUUUGUUCAAGAACAGCAUGAAAUUUUCAGAGUGUAUCGACUCCUUGUUAGCUAUGAUUGAGACUAAGAGUGCCU
RNAcentral lists this long non-coding RNA (596 nucleotides) under Homo sapiens (human). RNAcentral describes it as "HSALNT0187996". The record is from RNAcentral. Lineage: Eukaryota; Metazoa; Chordata; Mammalia; Primates; Hominidae.